CUCCAAAAGAAAUUGCCUGUUUACCAGUAUUAGUUCGAACAUAUGGUUUAUACAUAUUUAAAUUAGAUGAGUAUCUGGUAUUAUAACUGUGAACAUCUCUUGAAUAUUGGAAGAAAUUAUCAAAAAUGUGUGGCAACAAACCAGGCUCAUCCAGGGCAUUUUUUAAGGAAUAAGAGACCGUUCAUUAUUUAUGACCGGGGGUGGGCUGGCAAAAUUCAAUUAACAACUAAACAAAAUGUCCUGCCCCCUGGAUCACAAAAAUAUUCAAUGACCCCCUUCACAUGAAUUCUAAAAAAAUAGUACCACCACCACCAUUGUAUACAUAGACAUAUGACCAGGCAUCAGAUCUAUUCUACAUUUACUUAUGCUUUCAACAUUGGCAACGAAAAUUUUUAUUGGCUAUUUCAAUCCUACUUGACAACCUAACUAUGAAAAUAUUAUCAUUUCCUUCUCGAACAUUUUACUCUAGGAGUAAAAUGCAUGCAAACUUUGUGUGUCGCCGCCAUCUUGGAAAAAAUGACCUUCGAAGGCAUAGAAUAAGUUCGAAGGUCAACGAAUUUUGUGACGUCAUUAGAUGGGUAGCACCAAAACUACAAGUGAGAAUGGGCUAUUCCAUUUAAUAUCCGUACCCCCCCUGUCGAGGAUCCCUGGAAUUCUUCAGGGGUAAAGGGUUUUGAGCUUGGAAUUCUUCAGGGGUAAAGUGUUUUGAGCUUGGAAUUCUUCAGGGGUAAAGUGUUUUGAGCUUGGAAUUCUUCAGGGGUAAAGGGUUUUGAGCUUGGAAUUCUUCAUGGGUAAAGAGUUUUGAGCUUGGAAUUCUUCAGGGGUAAGGAGGUUUGAUUUGAAAUUUUUCAGAGCUUGGAAUUCUUCAGGGGUAAAGGGUUUUCAGCUUGGAAUUCUUCAGGGGUAAAAGGUUUCGAGCUUGGAAUUUUUCAGGGGUAAAGGGUUUUGAGCUUGGAAUUCUUCAGGGGUAAAAGGUUUUGAGCUUGGAAUUCUUCAGGGGUAAAAGGUUUUGAGCUUGGAAUUUUGGAAUUCUUCAGGGGUAAAAGGUUUUGAGCUUGGAAUUCUUCAGGGGUAAAGGGUUUUGAGCUUGGAAUUUUGGAAUUCUUCAGGGGUAAAAGGUUUUGAGCUUGGAAUUCUUCAGGGGUAUAACCAUAAAAAACAUGUAUCCUCGACAGGGGGUGUACGGAUAUUAAAUGGAAUAGCCCAAUUCUAUUGCGUGCGUGUCGUGUUAGCCAAAAAUAUGUCGUUUUGAGCGUUAUACUGGCCAAUACGUUUCGCAAUCAAACAAGAGAAGCCUACACUAUCAGAUAAAAACAUAUCGAGCGACUGGGAAAGCAAGGAAUGGCGCAAUUUACAAUACAGGUAAUUGAUCAUAAAAUAUUGCAUUAGUGUUUGCCUUGUUUACACUCGAAUUACUGCGUUUAUUUAACACGGACUAGGACUGAUAUACUAUCAGAAAUAGUGUUACAAAUAAGGAACAUACUUGGUAAAACGUUUCUGCCCUUCGUUUAGGCUCAAAGUGCACUACGCGUGGUAAUGCGCCGAUCAAAACGAAGGUGUAACAUCCCCCCCCCCCCGGGCACGAGAGGGGCAUUUACCUUUCGUGAUUUUCCCUAGGGGCGGGCAUUUGUUGUCGGGAAGAUUUAAAGUGGUGGGGCAUUUGAUUCCACUUAUAAUGAGGACGGGAAUUUGACCGAUUUUAACAACUAAAAAAACUUUUAGAUCACCUAACAUGAAGCAUAGAUAGUCUUGCUUUCCGCUGACACAAGAAACCGCAGGCAUUUACGCAUCAAUCAAAAGCACAUUUUUUGCUUUUGUGUUUUCGCUUUUCGGAGUAUUCGGACUUUUCGAGUUUUUGAGAAAAUGGCGACAUUAAUAAGUGAGUUUCGUGGCCAAAAUAUAAGUUAUGUUGAAAAUUGGUUGUCCCA
Molecule: non-coding RNA, 1928 nt
Organism: Paramuricea clavata
Lineage: Eukaryota; Metazoa; Cnidaria; Anthozoa; Malacalcyonacea; Plexauridae
Source: the annotation of a GenBank genome assembly